Molecule: ribosomal RNA, 429 nt
Filed under: Verrucomicrobiota bacterium
Lineage: Bacteria; Pseudomonadati; Verrucomicrobiota
Description: Verrucomicrobia bacterium partial 16S ribosomal RNA
Rfam family: Bacterial small subunit ribosomal RNA
Source: RNAcentral
UAGGGAAUCUUCGGCAAUGGGGGGAACCCUGACCGAGCAACGCCGCGUGAGUGAAGAAGGUUUUCGGAUCGUAAAGCUCUGUUGUUAAGGAAGAACGAGUGUGAGAAUGGAAAGUUCAUGCUGUGACGGUACUUAACCAGAAAGGGACGGCUAACUACGUGCCAGCAGCCGCGGUAAUACGUAGGUCCCGAGCGUUGUCCGGAUUUAUUGGGCGUAAAGCGAGCGCAGGCGGUUAGAAAAGUCUGAAGUGAAAGGCAGUGGCUCAACCAUUGUAGGCUUUGGAAACUGUUUAACUUGAGUGCAGAAGGGGAGAGUGGAAUUCCAUGUGUAGCGGUGAAAUGCGUAGAUAUUAGGAAGAAUACCGGUGGCGAAGGCGACUUGCUGGACACAAACUGACGCUGAGGAACGAAAGCGUGGGUAGCAAACAGG